GCUGGGCACAGUGGCGCACACCUGUAAUCCCAGUGGUUUGGGAGGCUGAGGCAGGAGGAUCCUGAGUUCAAAGCCAGCCUUAGCAAAAGUGAGGUGCUAAGCAACUCAGAGAGACCCUGUCUCUA
RNAcentral lists this small RNA (125 nucleotides) under Marmota monax (woodchuck). The record is from RNAcentral. Lineage: Eukaryota; Metazoa; Chordata; Mammalia; Rodentia; Sciuridae.